This 440-nucleotide ribosomal RNA is filed under the name uncultured bacterium. RNAcentral's name for it is "partial 16S ribosomal RNA". It matches the Rfam family "Bacterial small subunit ribosomal RNA", at positions 338 to 795 of the family's 1533-position model. The record is from RNAcentral.
CCUACGGGUGGUAGCAGUGAGGGAUAUUGGUCAAUGGGGGAAACCCUGAACCAGCAACGCCGCGUGAGGGAAGACGGUUUUCGGAUUGUAAACCUCUGUCCUCUGUGAAGAUGAUGACGGUAGCAGAGGAGGAAGCUCCGGCUAACUACGUGCCAGCAGCCGCGGUAAUACGUAGGGGGCAAGCGUUAUCCGGAUUUACUGGGUGUAAAGGGAGCGUAGACGGCUGUGCAAGUCUGAAGUGAAAGCCCGUGGCUCAACCGCGGAACUGCUUUGGAAACUGUAUAGCUUGAGUACUGGAGAGGCAGGCGGAAUUCCUAGUGUAGCGGUGAAAUGCGUAGAUAUUAGGAGGAACACCAGUGGCGAAGGCGGCCUGCUGGACAGAAACUGACGUUGAGGCUCGAAAGCGUGGGGAGCAAACAGGAUUAGAUACCCGUGUAGUC